AACGAACGCUGGCGGCAUGCCUAACACAUGCCGGUCGAACGAGACCUUCGGGUCUAGUGGCGCACGGGUGCGUAACGCGUGGGAACCUGCCCUUAGGUUCGGAAUAACUCCCCGAAAGGGGUGCUAAUACCGGAUAAUGUCUUCGGACCAAAGAUUUAUCGCCUUUGGAUGGGCCCGCGUUGGAUUAGCUAGUUGGUAGGGUAAAAGCCUACCAAGGCGACGAUCCAUAGCUGGUCUGAGAGGAUGAUCAGCCACACUGGGACUGAGACACGGCCCAGACUCCUACGGGAGGCAGCAGUGGGGAAUAUUGGACAAUGGGCGAAAGCCUGAUCCAGCAAUGCCGCGUGAGUGAUGAAGGCCUUAGGGUUGUAAAGCUCUUUUACCCGGGAUGAUAAUGACAGUACCGGGAGAAUAAGCUCCGGCUAACUCCGU
This 432-nucleotide ribosomal RNA is filed under the name uncultured bacterium. RNAcentral describes it as "partial 16S ribosomal RNA". It matches the Rfam family "Bacterial small subunit ribosomal RNA", at positions 29 to 506 of the family's 1533-position model. The record is from RNAcentral.